This is a long non-coding RNA of Rhodamnia argentea, 200 nucleotides long. RefSeq lists it as uncharacterized. The transcript is spliced from 6 exons. The record is from RefSeq and is a predicted model, not a curated record. Lineage: Eukaryota; Viridiplantae; Streptophyta; Magnoliopsida; Myrtales; Myrtaceae.
AUUCUAAUCAGCAGAAUAGUGGUAAUUCCGAGAACGAUGAGAAAUGGGCCUAAAGAGCCCUUAACUCUUGAGACUGGAUUGCUGAAAAGUCAAGGUAGUUCGGUUCCAAUCCCGAUGGUAUGGACUAUGGCCAUAUAAGAGAAGAUAGAGCUUCAAAAGAUGGAAGAUGGAGAGAGAAUGGGGCCACCAUUUCAAGGAAU